CCUACGGGUGGCAGCAGUGAGGAAUAUUGGUCAAUGGGCGCGAGCCUGAACCAGCCAAGUAGCGUGAAGGAUGACUGCCCUACGGGUUGUAAACUUCUUUUAUAAAGGAGUAAAGUGAGGCGCGCGUGCGUUUUUGUCUGUACUUUAUGAAUAAGGAUCGGCUAACUCCGUGCCAGCAGCCGCGGUAUUACGGAGGAUCCGAGCGUUAUCCGGAUUUAUUGGGUUUAAAGGGAGCGUAGAUGGGUUGUUAAGUCAGUUGUGAAAGUUUGCGGCUCAACCGUAAGAUUGCAAUUGAUACUGGGAGACUGGAGUACAGUAGAGGUAGGCGGAAUGCGUGGUGUAGCGGUGAAAUGCUUAGAUAUCACGAAGAACUCCGGUUGCGAAGGCAGCUUACUAGACUGCAACUGACAUUGAGGCUCGAAAGUGUGGGUAGCAAACAGGAUUAGAUACCCUAGUAGUC
RNAcentral lists this ribosomal RNA (460 nucleotides) under uncultured bacterium. RNAcentral's name for it is "partial 16S ribosomal RNA". It matches the Rfam family "Bacterial small subunit ribosomal RNA", at positions 338 to 795 of the family's 1533-position model. The record is from RNAcentral.